CCGUCACAACGGCUUCCUGACGUGGCGGAUUACACAUAUUGGAGCA
RNAcentral lists this non-coding RNA (46 nucleotides) under Poseidonocella sedimentorum. RNAcentral describes it as "SAM-SAH-Weickhmann-2018 RNA". It matches the Rfam family "SAM/SAH riboswitch aptamer". The record is from RNAcentral. Lineage: Bacteria; Pseudomonadati; Pseudomonadota; Alphaproteobacteria; Rhodobacterales; Roseobacteraceae.